RNAcentral lists this long non-coding RNA (4923 nucleotides) under Zea mays. RNAcentral describes it as "long non-coding RNA (ZMAY_LNC004667)". The record is from RNAcentral. Lineage: Eukaryota; Viridiplantae; Streptophyta; Magnoliopsida; Poales; Poaceae.
ACGCGCUGAUCACGGAACAGAACUGCGGUCGUUCGUAACAGAAUGCGUAUCAACAGUGCGGACUUGUUCCCUGUCCAUAUAAGGAUGGACGUGAUCCCUCUCGUUCCAUCGAGCCGCUUAGGAAGAGAACAAGACCCGUCGCCGAGAGUGCCAUGCCAGGAGCCCAUGUCCUCGUAACCCAUAGGUGGAGCAAACUCAAACAGAAAGCUUCGUCAGGUGAGCAGAGAGAACCGUGUGAGGGUACUCGUGGACAGACCAAGCGCUAUUGGUGAUAGGAGCACUCAUGAUUUCUCGCCGGCGUCAAGGACUGCGGCUGGCCGCACUAUGCCCUGGACCCGCAAUUUCGAAACCCGAUCUCUGGUAUGGACUCGCUUCCGCUAAUUGUACAUGAUUAGAGGAUUCUCUAGCACAUAUGCACGCUCGGAUUGGUUCGCCUGGUCGCCCAACCCUCUACUCGCCAGCGAAACGCCGCCGCGGGCUGCGCUGGAGCCGCCCGGUCUUCGGUCUGCUGUUGGAUAGAAGAAACGUAUCAGCCGUCGAUCGCGACGUGUACGACUGCAAUUGGAUGCGCUUGGGGUCGGUUCGGUCGGGGUAAUAGGAUCCGUUCGAUCUAGAUCUGGGGGUUGUGGCUAGUUCUCGCUUAUUUUAAAUCUGGUUCGCAGAUCUCGGAAUCAAUGGUUGCCGUGCGGCUGUGAUCGCGCCCUGAUUCAUAAUAAAGUUGAUCUAAUCUGGGCCAUCCAGCGUUGAUCCAACGGCCGAGAUCCACCAAUACCCUUCCGUCCGAAUGGUUAUUUAAAAGAACCCCGGGAAAUGUUAGAAUUAACCCACCGUCCUGAUGCAGUGGUAGAAAAUUUAAUCUAUGCCCCUGAAAUUUGUGGUUUAGCCCCUGGUCUUUAAGGUAUUAGUGUUCACAGUUCGGAUAUUGAAUAAAAUGAGUAUAUUAAUGUAGAAAAUGAGUUUUAGUAUGAAAACAAUUUUAGAAACUUGUAUAAUUCAUAUUUAAUUCAUUUUAACUUCAAAUUGAUCCAUUCCAGUGGCAUUAAUUUUGUUUUAAUAUUGUUUAUCACAUAUUACCUUUGUUUAACCAUGAAACUUGAAUUAAAAUUGCUCGAUUGAAUUAAUCUAUUCUAGGUGCUAAAUAAUUUCAGAAAUUCAUAACUCAAUAACCGUAACUCUGUUUUAAUCCAUUCUGGUUGCAUUAGUCUCACAAUAAUAUCUAUUAUCAUCUGGUAACUUUGUUUUGUCAUGAAAUAUAGGUUAAAAUAUUGCACUUAGUCUAUUCUAUAUUUAACCACAUAGAUAUUCGGAAAAUCAUAACUCGAUAGCCGUAGCCCCGAAUUUAGUGGUUCUUGUUUCUACGAUCUCGUUACGACGUGUAGAUUAUUAUUAUGCAGUUUGUGCUUAUGUUUGGUGUAAUGUUAAUUUUGCCUAUACCAUGUUUGUAUGUAUUGCUACGUUUAGCAGUGAGGACACGUGUCAUCUGAAAAGCAAGUUGGUACCUAGAAUCUCAAUUCCCAGGCAAGUUGUGCCCUUGAUCACUUCUUUUUACCCACUCAUGUUCUGAUUAAUCAUAAUGAUCUGCAUAGGUUAAUUUUGAUGGGACCCAAUAGGUUACCCCAGUUUGACUAUCUUUAUACCUUGUUCACCACUGAAUCUUUGGGUAGUACCUGAUAUUGCUUUAUGUGGUUUUGGGUAUAGAGAUACAUUUUAUUCAUGAUUAUACUUUGUUAUCAGUUUGUUAAUUAUUGUUCAUGAUAAGAUCAUUAUGUUAAUUGGAACAUGGAGAACCACCCGGGAAAACAGUGCUACCACAAGGGUUUAAUGGGACGCCCUUGGCCAACUAACUAGGAAAGCUAGUGGAAGACUACCUUACCCGAAAGGGGCAAGGGCAGUAGGGGAGUGGUCGGUGUAGGGAGGCCCUUGGGAUGAUUUUGCUGCGAUGGCGGUCAUGCGAGGGAUUCUUGCAUUGGAGCUUCCUAUAAACUGUAGCGGGUUUUCUGAAGCUAGUGGAACUUUGUAAAGGCCUCGUAGUGUUACCCUGCCUUGACUCCUCGGUACAGGUGUAUGGGAUUGGCCGUCUCUUGGCAGAUGGGUAACAUGACUUGUGGGUAAAGAUGUGCAACCUCUGCAGAGUGUAAAACUGGUAUACUAGCCGUGCUCACGGUCAUGAGCAGCUCGGACACUCACAUGAUUAAAUUAUGAAACUUAAAUUCAAUUUGUCAUAUGCAUUGCAUCGCAGGUGAGGUUGUUACUUUUGUUAUGCUACUUAAUUGGGUUGGUAUUUACUUAUACUUAGUAAUUGCUAAUAAAAUUUUGACCAACUUUAAAAGCAAUGCUCAGCUCUAACCAUCCUCUUUGGUAAGCCUUACACUUCACGUGAGCUCCCACCUUUGGCGAGUUCAUGCACAUUAUUCCCCACAACUUGUUGAGCGAUGAACGUAUAUGAGCUCACUCUUGCUGUCUCACACCCCCCACAGGUCAAGAACAGGUACCACAGGAUGAGGCGCAUGAAGGAUGCUGCGAUGUGUUCGUGAGAGGUCUAGGUCGUCGUCUCCCAGUCAACUUUGGGUUGCUGGACCGUUGUCUCCUUAUAAUGUAUUUAUUUAUUUAUUUUGUACAAAACUCCUAUUAUAUAGUAAAGACGUGACAUUCGAUCCUAUGCCAUGAUUCAUCAUAUGUGUGAGACUUGGUCCCAGCACACCUGGUGAUUAUGUUCGCACCCGGGUCUUGGUGCCCUGAAAUCCGGGUGUGAUAGAAGUGGUAUCAGAGGAAUGUUGACUAUAAGACAAAACCUAGAUAGAACUGGACAACCAUUGUCUACUUACCUUUGCUACUCUGAUUCUUUAUCUAAACUUUCCUUAAUCUUUUCUCAUCCAUUGUUGCUUUACUCUGAUUAUUCUUAUCUUUUCCUUCUAAAGACAAAUGUGGAUUUCACACUUUGAAAUCUUGUGCCUGAAGUGACCUCUAGGACUAGGAGACCUACUCUUAGGAACAAAAUCAAAACUAUUUUCGUAAAUAUUUGUAUGCUUGAAUGUUUGUUCUUGUGAUACAUGUCUGAUUUGGAUCUUUGAUUGAGUGUGAUGAGUUGUGGAGUAUUGUCCACAAUUACAUCUGCAUAUACAUAUAGGCAUAAAUAUAAACAAAUAAAAUUCAUAAGAUAACUAGACAAACUAGAUUAUUCCUCAUUAAAGUAUCUAGCCUAACAAUAUCCAUCUAAUCUGGAAAGAUUCUAUCUUACUCAUAGAUCCAUCUUAUCCUAAAAAUAAUAAUAUAUACUCAUCAUAUCAUGAAAAGAUUUUAUCUAAUCCUAAUAGAUCUAACUGACCUCAAAAGAAUCUACCUUAUCCCUAGGGAUCCAUCUUGCCCUAAGUAACAUAUUUAUCCCACUCUAGAAUAACAACCAUGAGAUAAUCCCAAAAUUUAUUUAGAUCUUAUCUGGUCUCGGCUCGUCAUACCAAUCUAAUCUAGAUCACAUCUAAUCUAAUAUGAUCCAAUAUAAAGGGAGCUACUUAAACAAGUUAGUUAAUACUGGUAACCUAGAUUAGACCAUAUUCCUAUAAAUGGGUUUUAAACCUAAAUUGAUGUCUUAGAUCAACUCGUCCGUGAAACCCCGACCUAACCUAUGUUAUAGGUUGCCCAAUCCAUUUGUUCCAAAAGCAAAGUAAAACUCUGUUCAAACUUACCUACCUCGUGUACCCCGGCUAUCCUAACCACAUAUCCUUAACUCGGAUGGCAACUCCAAGAAGAAAGGCCAAAGAAGACCAACCACGUCAAAGAAGGAUAAGCAUCAACUCAAGUCUUCAAAGAUCAAGUUGGAUCGCCAGAGGAAUCAAGAUCCAGAGUUCAGGAUGAAGUCUUUCCUUAUUAUACUCUUCCUUGCCACAACCUAUACUUGCCAUAACCGUACUUCAUCUGGCCUAAUAAAUGGCUAGACAUAUGUAUAUCCAUAUAUUCCAAAUCAUCUACUAACGUGUAUAAAAAAACUUCAAACAAAACUUUUGAUUCCUAAACCAAAUGAGAAACUAAAUUUCAAACCAAACUGGUUGCAUCCCUUUUUCUUAUAAAUCUCGAGGACGAGAUUUCUGUUAAGGGGGUAGGAUUUGUAACACCUUAAUUGUUGAACUAACAAAAUCUUUUGAGAUUUAGUUUAAUUUGUAAGGAAUUGAGUUCUAAUGAUUUCUAGCAAGGAUUUCCUUUCUUUUCAACAGUUAUUUCUCUAAAUAAAUAACAAGAUGUAAAAAUAUUUGCUAUUAAUAUAAAUAAAUAACAACUACUUAGUUUUGAAUGAAAUACUAAAUUUAACUACGCUGGAGUAGUUUUAUUUGUUUGUUAAGAAAAUAUUGUAAAUGUGUGCAUUACAUAUUUAAAACAUUUAGCUAAUUAAUGAAAUAAAUAUAAACAUACAUUUAAAUGCAUUUCAUGAUUGACACGUUUUGUUGUUACAUUUAAAUCAAAUUCGAAAUAAAAACAAGAGAUCAGUAUUGAAUUUGAAUAUUUGAAACUGAAAUAAAACAGAAAUUAGAAAAAAAGAGCAAUCUCCUUCCGCGCGGCCCUUUUCUUUGUUGGCCCAUUUUCUCUAUUCCGCGGGGCCUAAUUAGUCUCCACGUUUCAUUUUUUUCAUUUUUGUUUUCUAGCCGCAAAUGAUGACAUCAGCACAUGCAUCGAGUCGGUCACUAUAUUAUGGGUCCGCCGUUUAGUAUCCAUCUCCAACCACGCGCUGAUCACGGAACAGAACUGCGGCCGUUCGUAACAGAAUGCGUAUCAACAGUGCGGACUUGUUCCCUGUCCAUAUAAGGAUGGACGUGAUCCCUCUCGUUCCAUCGAGCCGCUUAGGAAGAGAACAAGACCCGUCGCCGAGAGUGCCAUGCCAGGAGCCCAUGUCCCCGUAACCCAUAGGUGGAGCAAACUCAAACAGAAAGCUUC